ACCAUCAUCCGCAACGGGAAGCAUAAGUUCAGGAUUAUUAAAACCGAGUUUCGAUGUCCAAACAUGGAGCUCAGACGGGCAAACCACACUCAACCUAAAUCAUCGUAGGCAGGUCCAAAGGGGGAGGCAGAUCAGUACUUGUAGUCCUUGACGUGGAGGCUCUCCGAGACGCCCUCGCCGGCGGCGGCAUCACCCUUGUACGUGCCGAGGGUGGCCUCUGAGUUGGCCUUGCACCUGGUGAGGAAGGCAGCCCUGGCCUUCUCCACAUUCUCCACCUUGCCACCCCACGCCUUGAGGGUGCUCGCCUGAAGGGCACGGCCAAAGGAGAAAGACAGGGACCACGGCUUCUUGGUGUUGAGCUUGUUCAUUGCGUUGAGGUUCAGGGUGGCCUCCUCCUCGCUCUGUCCACCAGAGAGGAAGACGAUGGCGGGCACGGCAGCAGGGACGGUCCUCUGGAGGGAACGGACAGUGUACUCAGCAAUCACCUCAGGGGCCACUUUCUUGGCGUCGGAGCCGGGGGUGACCAUGUUGGGCUUCAGGAGGGUACCCUCGAGGAGGACAUGAUGCUCGUUCAGAGCCUUGUAGCAGGCAGCAAGGACCACCUCAGUGAUAUAAGCGCAGCGCUCAAUGUCAUGCGACCCAUCAACAAGGAUCUCAGGCUCAACAAUUGGCACCAGACCGUUCUCCUGGCAGAUGAUGGCAUAGCGAGCCAGACCCUGAGCAUUCAGGUCAAUGGCCAGCUGCGACGGCUCGUUGGGGCCAAUGUUAAGGACAGCACGCCACUUGGCAAAGCGGGCACCGGCCUCAUAGUACUUGGCGCAGCGCUUGCCAAGGUCAUCAUGACCCUGGGUGGUGGUCUCCUUGUUGGUGCCAGCAACCUCGAUGGUACCCUUGUCGACCUUGAUGCCGGGGAGGACGCCUCCCUCAUUGAGGACAUCGACGAAGGGCUUGCCGUCCUUGGUCUUCUGGUAGAGGGUCUCCU
RNAcentral lists this long non-coding RNA (982 nucleotides) under Setaria viridis. Its description in RNAcentral is "long non-coding RNA (SVIR_LNC000770)". Lineage: Eukaryota; Viridiplantae; Streptophyta; Magnoliopsida; Poales; Poaceae. The record is from RNAcentral.